Molecule: ribosomal RNA, 179 nt
Filed under: uncultured bacterium
Lineage: Bacteria
Description: partial 16S ribosomal RNA
Rfam family: Bacterial small subunit ribosomal RNA
Source: RNAcentral
AUGAAGCUGGAAUUGCUAGUAAUGGCAGGUCAGCAUACUGCCGUGAAUACGUUCCCGGGCCUUGUACACACCGCCCGUCACACCAUGAGAGUUGGGAAUACCCGAAGCCUGUGAGCGAACAUAUGAGGCAGCAGUCGAAGGUAGAAUCAAUGAUUGGGGUGAAGUCGUAACAAGGUACC